CGGGACACGUGGUAUCCUGUCUGAAUAUGGGGGGACCAUCCUCCAAGGCUAAAUACUCCUGACUGACCGAUAGUGAACCAGUACCGUGAGGGAAAGGCGAAAAGAACCCCGGCGAGGGGAGUGAAAAAGAACCUGAAACCGUGUACGUACAAGCAGUGGGAGCACGCUUCGGCGUGUGACUGCGUACCUUUUGUAUAAUGGGUCAGCGACUUAUAUUCUGUAGCAAGGUUAACCGAAUAGGGGAGCCGAAGGGAAACCGAGUCUUAACUGGGCGUUAAGUUGCAGGGUAUAGACCCGAAACCCGGUGAUCUAGCCAUGGGCAGGUUGAAGGUUGGGUAACACUAACUGGAGGACCGAACCGACUAAUGUUGAAAAAUUAGCGGAUGACUUGUGGCUGGGGGUGAAAGGCCAAUCAAACCGGGAGAUAGCUGGUUCUCCCCGAAAGCUAUUUAGGUAGCGCCUCGUGAAUUCAUCUCCGGGGGUAGAGCACUGUUUCGGCAAGGGGGUCAUCCCGACUUACCAACCCGAUGCAAACUGCGAAUACCGGAGAAUGUUAUCACGGGAGACACACGGCGGGUGCUAACGUCCGUCGUGAAGAGGGAAACAACCCAGACCGCCAGCUAAGGUCCCAAAGUCAUGGUUAAGUGGGAAACGAUGUGGGAAGGCCCAGACAGCCAGGAUGUUGGCUUAGAAGCAGCCAUCAUUUAAAGAAAGCGUAAUAGCUCACUGGUCGAGUCGGCCUGCGCGGAAGAUGUAACGGGGCUAAACCAUGCACCGAAGCUGCGGCAGCGACACUAUGUGUUGUUGGGUAGGGGAGCGUUCUGUAAGCCUGUGAAGGUGGCCUGUGAGGGUUGCUGGAGGUAUCAGAAGUGCGAAUGCUGACAUAAGUAACGAUAAAGCGGGUGAAAAGCCCGCUCGCCGGAAGACCAAGGGUUCCUGUCCAACGUUAAUCGGGGCAGGGUGAGUCGACCCCUAAGGCGAGGCCGAAAGGCGUAGUCGAUGGGAAACAGGUUAAUAUUCCUGUACUUGGUGUUACUGCGAAGGGGGGACGGAGAAGGCUAUGUUGGCCGGGCGACGGUUGUCCCGGUUUAAGCGUGUAGGCUGGUUUUCCAGGCAAAUCCGGAAAAUCAAGGCUGAGGCGUGAUGACGAGGCACUACGGUGCUGAAGCAACAAAUGCCCUGCUUCCAGGAAAAGCCUCUAAGCAUCAGGUAACAUCAAAUCGUACCCCAAACCGACACAGGUGGUCAGGUAGAGAAUACCAAGGCGCUUGAGAGAACUCGGGUGAAGGAACUAGGCAAAAUGGUGCCGUAACUUCGGGAGAAGG
RNAcentral lists this ribosomal RNA (1325 nucleotides) under Escherichia coli. Its description in RNAcentral is "partial 23S ribosomal RNA". It matches the Rfam family "Bacterial large subunit ribosomal RNA", at positions 418 to 1746 of the family's 2925-position model. Lineage: Bacteria; Pseudomonadati; Pseudomonadota; Gammaproteobacteria; Enterobacterales; Enterobacteriaceae. The record is from RNAcentral.